RNAcentral lists this ribosomal RNA (253 nucleotides) under uncultured bacterium. RNAcentral describes it as "partial 16S ribosomal RNA". It matches the Rfam family "Bacterial small subunit ribosomal RNA", at positions 524 to 776 of the family's 1533-position model. The record is from RNAcentral.
UACGUAGGUGGCGAGCGUUAUCCGGAUUUAUUGGGCGUAAAGAGAACGCAGGCGGUCUUUUAAGUCUGAUGUGAAAGCCUUCGGCUUAACCGGAGUAGUGCAUUGGAAACUGGGAGACCUGAGUGCAGAAGAGGAGAGUGGAACUCCAUGUGUAGCGGUGAAAUGCGUAGAUAUAUGGAAGAACACCAGUGGCGAAAGCGGCUCUCUGGUCUGUAACUGACGCUGAGGUUCGAAAGCGUGGGUAGCAAACAGG